CACUUUGAACUAGCCAGACACACCUGGCCCUUCACAAGAUUAGUGCUUAGGACAAGUCUAAGUAGAAAAAGUGAGUCCAUUUAAAGAAAAAUAUUAAGUAAAAAUAUAUAUAUACAGGAGGAAUAUGGAUAUGGCAAAUAACAUGAAGCCAGAACCUAAGUGACUAAAAUCGAGGAAGUUCUGGCCUAGCACAGAGUGAACGUAUAAUUAAUGGGAGCUAGAGCAACCAUUAGAAUAAUAAUGGCCAGAAAACAGAACUGACUCGCUAGGUAUGAGCCAGCAGUCCGAACAAGGGCCUGCUGAGCACAGUGGCUCACAGCUGUAAUCCCAGUGCUUUAGGAGGCUGAGGCUGGAGGACCACUAGAGGCUAGAAAUUUGAGACCAGCCUGGGCAACAUAGCGAGACUCCAUUUAUACAAAAAAAUGGAAAAUAUGAGGCGGGCUUGGUGGCACAUGCCUGUAGUCCCCGCUACUUGGGAGGCUGAGGCGGGAGGAUUGCUUGAGCCUGGGAGGUCGCGGCUGCAGUGAGCUAUGAUUGCACCACUGCAUUCCAGCCUGGAUGCUGGAGAAAGACCCUGUCUCUGAAAAAAAUCAAAACAAAAUGAAGGCCCAUGAAUAGGAACAAGGAGAUAAAUUCAGCUCCAAAGAAGGAAGCCUUUGUCCACAAUUGGAGCUCUCCCGCACAGCGUAGAAGCCUUAGAGGCAGUGAGCUACCCAUCUUUGGAAGUGUUCAAAGGUAGAGGUGUUCCCUGGGAAAAGUGGCCUAGAUGGUCCCUGGGGACCUUCCCAGCCAGUAGGGUUUUCUGACCCUGCCUUCAUCCUACUCCUAGCUAUUUCUUGUUGCUCACAUCUCCUGAGGCCCAGGACCCUGGAGGGGAAGAAGAGGCAGAGAGCGCAGCCCGGCAGCCCCUCAUAAGAACCGAGGCCCCGGAGUCGAAGCCAGGCUCCAGCUCCAGCCUCUCCCUUCGGGAAAGGUGGACAGUGUUCAAGGUUCGGAUGAUGGCUGGGGUAUGUCCCUGUGGGGCUUGCUCACCUCCAGGCCCCCCGCUUAUAUCUUCUGCCUUUUCCAGGGUCUGCUGUGGUACAUUGUUCCCUUGGUCGUAGUUUACUUUGCCGAGUAUUUCAUUAACCAGGGACUUUUUGAACUCCUCUUUUUCCGGAACACUUCCCUGAGUCACGCUCAGCAAUACCGCUGGUACCAGAUGCUGUACCAGGCUGGCGUCUUUGCCUCCCGCUCUUCUCUCCGCUGCUGUCGCAUCCGUUUCACCUGGGCCCUGGCCCUGCUGCAG
RNAcentral lists this small RNA (1288 nucleotides) under Pan troglodytes (chimpanzee). Its description in RNAcentral is "retained intron". The record is from RNAcentral. Lineage: Eukaryota; Metazoa; Chordata; Mammalia; Primates; Hominidae.